GGGAAUGUAGCUCAAUGGUCAGAGUAUUCGCCUUUUAAGCGAAAUAAUGAGGGUUCAAAUCCCUUCAGACCCA
Molecule: transfer RNA, 73 nt
Filed under: Schizosaccharomyces cryophilus
Lineage: Eukaryota; Fungi; Ascomycota; Schizosaccharomycetes; Schizosaccharomycetales; Schizosaccharomycetaceae
Description: tRNA-Lys
Rfam family: tRNA
About the family: Transfer RNA (tRNA) molecules are approximately 80 nucleotides in length.
Source: RNAcentral